Molecule: transfer RNA, 66 nt
Filed under: Propsilocerus akamusi
Lineage: Eukaryota; Metazoa; Arthropoda; Insecta; Diptera; Chironomidae
Description: tRNA-Arg
Source: RNAcentral
GAAUACGAAGCGAUAAAUUGCCAUUAGUUUCGACCUAAUUUUAGGUGCUUAAUGCAUCCUUAUUCU